This 462-nucleotide ribosomal RNA is filed under the name Euproctis uniformis. Its description in RNAcentral is "partial large subunit ribosomal RNA". Lineage: Eukaryota; Metazoa; Arthropoda; Insecta; Lepidoptera; Erebidae. The record is from RNAcentral.
UGCCCACUGAUAAUAAUUAAAGGGCUGCAGUAUAUUGACUGUACAAAGGUAGCAUAAUCAUUAGUCAUUUAAUUGAUGACUUGUAUGAAAGAUUGGAUGAAAUAUAAACUGUCUUAAAAUUAAAUUAUAAAAUUUAAUUUUUUAGUUAAAAAGCUAAAAUAAUUUAAAAAGACGAGAAGACCCUAUAGAGUUUUAUUUAUAUUUAAAUUUAUAAUUUUUUAUUAAUUUUAUGAUAAAUAUUAAUUUAAAUAUUAAUUUUGUUGGGGUGAUAAAAAAAUUAAAUAAACUUUUUUUUUAAAAAACAUAGAUAAGUGAUUUAUUGAUCCAAUAAUAUUGAUUAAAAGAAAAAAUUACCUUAGGGAUAACAGGGUAAUUUUUUUUUUUAGUUCAUAUAAAAAAAAAAGUUUGCGACCUCGAUGUUGGAUUAAGAUAAAAUUUAAAUGUAGAAGUUUAAAGUUUUGA